UGGCAGUGCGCGCCUACAGCUGA
This 23-nucleotide microRNA is filed under the name Branchiostoma floridae (Florida lancelet). RNAcentral's name for it is "bfl-miR-34e". Its record names the gene bfl-miR-34e. Lineage: Eukaryota; Metazoa; Chordata; Leptocardii; Amphioxiformes; Branchiostomatidae. The record is from miRBase by way of RNAcentral.